Molecule: ribosomal RNA, 207 nt
Filed under: uncultured bacterium
Lineage: Bacteria
Description: partial 16S ribosomal RNA
Rfam family: Bacterial small subunit ribosomal RNA
Source: RNAcentral
CGUGUAGGCGGCCAGAUAAGUCCGCUGUGAAAACUCGAGGCUCAACUUCGAGCUGUCGGCGGAAACUAUCUGGCUAGAGUCCGGAAGAGGAGAGUGGAAUUCCUGGUGUAGCGGUGAAAUGCGCAGAUAUCAGGAAGAACACCCGUGGCGAAGGCGGCUCUCUGGGACGGUACUGACGCUGAGACGCGAAAGCGUGGGGAGCGAACA